CAGAUGAUCAUUCCCUAGCCAGAGGUCGAGGCAAGGGAACAGUUUACCAGAACAUGCACGAUGUGCAAGUGAAGCAGAUCGUGAUAGCGGCAGGCGAGACCACAGAGAAGGUGUGCAUGGUGACACCCCGUACUCGCCGCUUAAGGGGUCGCGCUCCAAGGAAGCUGUAGUUACUCCUCGCAUGGGUAACUUAGUCGAAUAGCUUGAAGAGU
Molecule: long non-coding RNA, 212 nt
Filed under: Phaseolus vulgaris (common bean)
Lineage: Eukaryota; Viridiplantae; Streptophyta; Magnoliopsida; Fabales; Fabaceae
Description: long non-coding RNA (PVUL_LNC001726)
Source: RNAcentral